AAGCCAUGCAUGUCUAAGUAUAAGCAAUUAUACAGUGAAACUGCGAAUGGCUCAUUAAAUCAGUUAUAGUUUAUUUGAUGAUGCUUGCUACAUGGAUAACUGUGGUAAAUCUAGAGCUAAUACAUGCGUUAUAAGCCCCGACUUCGGAAGGGGUGUAUUUAUUAGGUAAAAUCCAUCGGCCUCGGCCUUUGGGGAGUCAUAAUAACUGCACGAAUCGCAUGGCCUUGCGCCGGCGAUGCUUCAUUCAAAUAUCUGCCCUAUCAACUUUCGAUGGUACGGUAGUGGCCUACCAUGGUUGCAACGGGUAACGGGGAAUAAGGGUUCGAUUCCGGAGAGGGAGCCUGAGAAACGGCUACCACAUCCAAGGAAGGCAGCAGGCGCGCAAAUUAUCCAAUCCCGACACGGGGAGAUAGUGACAAAAAAUAACAAUACAGGGCUUUCAUAGGUCUUGUAAUUGGAAUGAGUACAAUUUAAAUCCCUUAACGAGGAACAAUUGGAGGGCAAGUUUGGUGCCAGCAGCCGCGGUAAUUCCAACUCCAAUAGCGUAUAUUAAAGUUGUUGCAGUUAAAAAGCUCGUAGUUGAACUUGGGCCCUGGCUGGGCGGUCCGCCUAACGGCGAGUACUGCCUUUCGGCUGGGGCUUAUCCUCUUGUGUGAACCCGGUCGUACUUUGUGCGGUCGGGGGACCAGGGAAAUUACUUUGAAAAAAUUAAAGUGUUCAAAGCAGGCCUAUCGGCUCGAAUAGAUUAACAUGGAAUAAGGGAACAGGGACGUUUCCGGUCCCCCUUUC
This 789-nucleotide ribosomal RNA is filed under the name Ustilaginales sp. LM610. Its description in RNAcentral is "SSU rRNA". It matches the Rfam family "Eukaryotic small subunit ribosomal RNA", at positions 46 to 847 of the family's 1831-position model. Lineage: Eukaryota; Fungi; Basidiomycota; Ustilaginomycetes; Ustilaginales. The record is from RNAcentral.